Molecule: transfer RNA, 73 nt
Filed under: Bacteroidota bacterium
Lineage: Bacteria; Pseudomonadati; Bacteroidota
Description: Bacteroidetes bacterium (cold seep metagenome) tRNA-Lys
Rfam family: tRNA
About the family: Transfer RNA (tRNA) molecules are approximately 80 nucleotides in length. Their secondary structure includes four short double-helical elements and three loops (D, anti-codon, and T loops). Further hydrogen bonds mediate the characteristic L-shaped molecular structure. tRNAs have two regions of fundamental functional importance: the anti-codon, which is responsible for specific mRNA codon recognition, and the 3' end, to which the tRNAs corresponding amino acid is attached (by aminoacyl-tRNA synthetases). tRNAs cope with the degeneracy of the genetic code in two manners: having more than one tRNA (with a specific anti-codon) for a particular amino acid; and 'wobble' base-pairing, i.e. permitting non-standard base-pairing at the 3rd anti-codon position.
Source: RNAcentral
CGGUUCGUAGCUCAGUUGGCAGAGCACGUGACUCUUAAUCAUGGGGUCGUGGGUUCGAAACCCACCGAGCCGA